Molecule: unclassified non-coding RNA, 275 nt
Filed under: fungal sp.
Lineage: Eukaryota; Fungi
Description: partial internal transcribed spacer region
Rfam family: Eukaryotic small subunit ribosomal RNA (bases 1-45)
Source: RNAcentral
AGUCGUAACAAGGUUUCCGUAGGUGAACCUGCGGAAGGAUCAUUAACGUGCAUCUAAUGCAAAAACCAAAAACCAAAACCGACUGUGAACUUAAAAAACCCUUAUGUUAUUUUAACUUUUUUUAAUUCUUGUUAUUGACUUUUGUCAAUGACUUGAGUUAUUUAAAGUUAAUCCCACCACAUUAACCAAAAAACUUAAAAUACACAAACCCAUUCCAACUGAUUGAAAAAUCGUAAAUAAAUCGACGACUUUCAACGGCGGAUCUCUAGGCUCGU